CAGGGGCGUAGGAAGCACCUGGAGUUUGGGGGGGCACCGGCUUGUAGGGGCACAUUACUAUCGGAAAGGGCACCUAAAAAAUUUUUCCCGGAAAUGUUGUCGACGGGGGGGGGAGGGGGGGGAGGAGGAGAGAAAUUUCUCCUGAGGAAAAUUUUCCGUCGUAUCAUACCGAAAUUUAUGUUUGUGACCUAAUUUUUAAAAAAAAAUUGUAAAUUUCCACACAAAAACGGCACCUAUUGUUUUAAUUUAGUAUUUACAGCGACAUUAGCUUCUACAAAAGGGGCACUUUUCUUCACAAAAAAGGGCACUUUUCAACACAAAAAGGGCACUUUUUAUCACAAAAAACGGCACUUUUAGUCCUUUAAAAAAAAUUGGGGGGGCACGUGCCCCCCGUGCCCCCCCGCUUCCUACGCCCCUG
This is a non-coding RNA of Paramuricea clavata, 418 nucleotides long. The record is from the annotation of a GenBank genome assembly. Lineage: Eukaryota; Metazoa; Cnidaria; Anthozoa; Malacalcyonacea; Plexauridae.